Callithrix jacchus (white-tufted-ear marmoset) is the source of this 6519-nucleotide long non-coding RNA. RefSeq lists it as uncharacterized. The record is from RefSeq and is a predicted model, not a curated record. NCBI's taxonomy places the organism in Eukaryota, Metazoa, Chordata, Mammalia, Primates, Cebidae.
GAGCUUGGAUACUGAGGGACCACCAACCAUGAUAGAGACCAUCUGUAUCAGAUAAGAUCCUUUUAUUAAUAGGCAACAGAAAUAUCAACUAGAACUGGCUUUAAAAGUACAGAAAUUGGCCAGGCAUGGUGGUGCAAGCCUGUAAUCCCAGCUACUUGGGAGGCUGAGGCAGGAGAAUCUCUUGAAGCCAGGAGGCAGAGGUUGUGGUGAGCCAAGAUGGUGCCAUUGCACUCCAGCCUGGGCAACAAGAGCAGAACUCCAUACACUGAAAGUAUACUUGAACAGUUCCAACUGUACAUACUGUAUGAAGCUUGUCCUCUGACUAGGUUUCUUAUUUCUAUGUGGAAUUGCAUAUCUUGCAGCAUUCCAUAAGGAAGAUGAGGUUCCAGUAAGAUGACUUGCUCAAGGUCACAAGGAAGAAAAAGUGUUCCCUGAUGUUCAUGACCGGAUUCCCCUUGUAUCCCAUUGGCCACAAUGGAAUCAUGCAACCAGAUCCCAGCUGCAAGAGAGGUUGAGAAGAGUAUCAUGGGGAUUCAGAGCUGGUUCUGUCAACCUUCGAUGGGCUCCACAUUCAAAGAUACCCACAUUGUGGCCAGGCUGUCUGUGUGAAGAAAUAAGAUCAUCUGUAUUCUCAGAGUGAACCAGGACUGGAGCAAAACCUCAGGUUACACGAAACAGAGCACUUUACAGUUUGUAAAGCACUUUAUAGCCUGGACAGUAACAUGGCUCUUUACACCUCCAUGUGAAGCAGUCAAAGAAAUCAUUGAAGCUUAGCCCUUUUGUUGACGAAUGAAAGAGUGAGCCUGGAAGAGUGAAGCCUGGAAGAGUGAGCCUGGAAGAGUGAGCCUGGAAGAGUGAAGCCUGGAAGAGUGAGCCUGGAAGAGUGAAGCCUGGAAGAGUGAGCCUGGAAGAGUGAAGCCUGGAAGAGUGAGCCUGGAAGAGUGAAGCCUGGAAGAGUGAGCCUGGAAGAGUGAACCUGGAAGAGUGAAGCCUGGAAGAGUGAGCCUGGAAGAGUGAGCCUGGAAGAGUGAAGCCUGGAAGAGUGAGCCUGGAAGAGUGAAGCCUGGAAGAGUGAGCCUGGAAGAGUGAACCUGGAAGAGUGAGCCUGGAAGAGUGAGCCUGGAAGAGUGAGCCUGGAAGAGUGAACCUGGAAGAGUGAAGCCUGGAAGAGUGAGCCUGGAAGAGUGAAGCCUGGAAGAGUGAAGCCUGGAAGAGUGAGCCUGGAAGAGUGAGCCUGGAAGAGUGAACCUGGAAGAGUGAACCUGGAAGAAUGAAGCCUGGAAGAGUGAGCCUGAAGAGUGAAGCCUGGAAGAGUGAGCUAUUUUGCCGAGCCAGAUGUAUAGCCUGAGCGGCCUGCUCUCCCACUGCCCAGGCCUCAUUCUGAACAGUGUGGGAGGCUUCUUUACCCCAGCUUGCAUUCCGAGGCAGGUUUUGGAGUAUGUGGGCUGAGAAGCAGAGACUGGCAGCAAGAUGUGGGCUCAGGAAGCGGGAGGAGCCACGCAGAGAACGGGGGUGAGGGGAGCCACAGGGGGAGGUGAAGGAGGAGGCAUUUUUGUCACCGUGAAUCACAUUUUCCACUUGAAAUAGGAGCUGAGACUUUCUGAGGGGGCAAAAUGCAACAUACAAUGGAGGUGAGCAGGUGGGAAAUUACAUGGCUCAUAUUUAAUUAUGCAAAAUCCCAUAAUCCCUCAGGGAGCACAAAGGACAUGAGGUGGUGAUUUUCCUCCUCUCAUAAUCUUGGAGCCACUUUAUUAAAUGACAGAAAGAAUAAUGCGGCCAGGGAGGAAAAAAUUAUGUGGUCAGAGAACUAAAGAUAAUUUCACAGCUUUCGCAUUCCAUUCCACGCCUUCCUUCUUGGCUGUUCUGAGCUGCAACGCUGGCCUUAAUGUAAGGAUAAACAGGUAUCCUUACAGCAUCAUAGAGACAUGCACAGUCUUUAGUUUAGAACUCCACAUCCCCUUAUUUUACAUCUAAUGUUGAAAGAGAGUGAGCCUGAGCUACAGAGAGAGAGAGAAAAAAUAGCUGCUUCUGCUAAUUAUGGUCUUAGUUGUGUCUUCCCCCCCAAAUCCCAAAUUAAUAUGUUGAAGUCCUAACUCCCACCACCUCACAAUGUGACUGUAUUUGCAGAUAGGGUCUUUAAAGAGGGGAUUAAAUUAAAAUGAGCUGUUUGAGGUGGACUCCAUCUGACUGGUGUCCUUAUAAAAAGGGAAAAAUUGGACACACAGAGACACCACGAAUGCAGACACAGAGCAAAGACCACACGGGGCACAGCAAGAAGAUGGCUGUCUGCAAGCCAAGGAGAGAGGCCACUGGAGAAACUCAACCAGCCAGUACCUUGACCAUGGACUUCUAUAUUCCAGAGCUGCGAGGAAACAAAUGCCCACUGUUGAAGCCACCCAGCCUGUGCUUUUUGUUAGGGGAGCCCUAGAAAAUGAAUGCAGAUUUUGGUCCGGAGAAGUGGGACGCUGAUGUAACCAGUGCCUAAAAAUGUGGAAAUGCCUUUGGUGUUGAGUAUUAGCUAGAGGCUGGAGAGUUGUGAAGCACAUGGUGUUAUAGAAAAUGCCUAGAUCGUGGUGGAGAGACUCGAUAGAAAUAUGGAUGCUAAAGCUGCUUCUUUGAGGCCUCAGAUGGAGAUAAAGAACACGCUAUUGGACACUGGAGAGGAGGAGAUCCUUGUUAUAAGUGGCAAAGAGCUUGUCUGAAUUGCGUUCUAGUGUUUUGCAGAAGGUGGAACUUGUGAGUGAAGCACUUGGAUAUUUGGCAGAGGAGAUUUCAGAAAUCAAAACUGUGGAAGCACAGUAUUGAGGGUGCAGCGGCUUUCUCCUGAUUGCUUAUGGUAAAAUGCAACAGGAGAGACAGACAUUGAAGAAGAAAGUGUUAAGCAACACAGAACCAAAACUCAAAGAUUGGGAAAUUUCUCAGCCUACCCAUAUUGCAGAAAGUGAGAAAGCUUGUUCUAGAGAGAAUCCCAAGGGUGUGACUUGACAGUCACAUGAGAAAGAGACUGUGGGUGUCACUCAGGGAUCUCCCAACCAUCUCAGCCUGGGUACCCAUCAAUGAUGGAUUGGAUAAAUAAAAUGUGGUACAUAUACCCCACGGAAUACUAUACAGCCGUAUAAAAGAACAAAAUCAUGUAAUUUUCAGCAACAUGAAUGCAGCUGGAGGCCAUAUUCUAAGUGAAUUAAUGCAAAAACAGAAAUGCUGCCAGCUUGGACUGAAGCUCAGAGAUGAAAGAAAGGCUGUCAGACAGGCCGGGCAUCGUGGCUCAUGCCUGUAAUCCCAGCACUUUGGGAGGCCAAAGCAGGCAGAUCAUGAGGUCAGGAGUUUGAAACCAGCCUGAACAACGUGGCGAAGCCCUGUCUCUACUAAAAAUACAAAAAAAUCAGCAGCUGGGAGUGGUGGUGGGCACCUGCAAUCCCAACUACUGAGGCUGAGGCAGGAGAAUCGCUUGAACCUGGGAAUCAGAGGUUGCAGUGAGCCAAGAUCGCACCACUGCACUCCAGUCUAGGUGACAGAGUGGGACUCUGCUUCAAGAAAGAAAGAGAGAGAGAGGGGGGAGAGAAAGAGAAAAAGAGAAAGAAAGAGACAGAAAGAAAGAAAAAGAAAAGAAGGAAGGAAUGAAGGUCAUCAGACUUCUGGGAUUCUACAGGGCAGGACAUUAGAGUUACCCAGGGAAUAGCAGUUGUUAUCCUUCAAUAAAAGAAAAGAAUGACCACAAAGGCAAGGCUACUUCCUUGUCGUUCCAGGUAACGACAAGGGACUCAUGAACCUUUCUUCUUUUUCCCCUUUGGAACUGGAAUGUCCAUAUUAUGCCUGUGUCACCAUUGUAUUUUGGAAGAAGAUAACUUUUUUGGUUUAAUAGGUUCACAGCUGGGCCAUUCACAAUAGAAAGACAUGGAAUCAACCUAGGUUCCCAUCAGUGGUGGGUUGGAUAAAUAAAAUAUGCUGUGUUUACACCAUGGAGUAAGACACAGCCAUAAAAAGAACAACAGCAUGUCUCUUUCAGCAACAUGAAUGCAACUGGAGGUCACUAUGCUAAGUGAAUUAAUGCAGUAACAGAAAAUUGAACACCCUAAGUUCUCACUUAUGAGUGGGAGCUACACCUUGGGUACGCAUGGACAUAAAGCUAGGGAACAAUAGACACUAGGGACCCCCAAAAAAGGGAAGAAGAAAGUGGGAAAGAGCUGAAAAACUACCUAUUGGUGCUGGGCAUUGUGGCUCACACCAGCGAUCCCAGCUACUCAGGAGGCUGAGGCACAAGAAUCCCUUGAACCUGGGAGGUAUAAGCUGCAGUGAGCUGAGAUUGUGCCACUGCACUCCAGCCUGGGCGACAGAGCGAGCCUCUGUCCCCAAAACAACAACAACAACAAAAUAACAUAACAAAACUAUCGGAUACGAUGCUCGCUGUCUGGGUGACGGGAUCACUGGAAGCCCAAACCUUAGCAUCAUGCAGUAUACCCUUGUGACAAACCUCCAUGUGUACCCCCAGAUCUAAAAUAAAAAUGAAAAAAAAUAGCUUCACAGCUUGAGAGGAGUUCUGCCUCAGAAUGAAUCACACCUUAAGUAUCAGCCACACCCGAUUUAGAUAAGAUUUGGAACUUAGAAUUCAUGCCAGCACAGGUUAAGACUUGCAGGGUGUGGGGAUGAGGGUGAAUGUAUUUUACACGUGAGAAGGAUGUGAAUUUUGGGAGUCCAGAGGGCAGAGUGUUAUGGGUUGAAUUGCAUUUCCACAAAAUGUAUAUGUUUAAGCCCUAACUGCAGUACCUCAGGAUGUGACUAUAUUUGGAGGGGAGGUCUUUAAAGAGGUGAUUAAGUGAAGAGGAAGCUGUUAGGGUGGGCUUUAAUGCAACCUGACUCAUGGCUUUGUAAGAAGAUGCAAUUUGCACACACACGGAGACUCCCUUAAUGUGGGCACACAGAGCAAAGACCAUGUGAAGACAUGGAAAAGGAGGGCAUCUGCCAGCCAACGAGACAGGCUUCAAAAGAAACUAAACCCGCUGGCUCCUUGACCUAGGACUUCUUGCAUCCAGGACUGUGAGAAAGUAAAUUUCUCCCGGUUAAGCCAGCCAGUCUAGACGUAUUUUGUUAUGUCAAUCGUGGCAACCUAAUGCACUGCAAAAAAGAGGACCAGGUUGAGAGCUAGACUUGAACCUUGAUUCUGCCUGGGGAGGCUGCUGUCUACACACAGGAAUUCCACUCUCCAGGCAGCAGUGACUGCUGGUGCGUGCUCCAAACUGGGUUUAAAGGAUUGACUCCAAUGUAGAUGCUUCCCCAUGGUCUUGGACAGCCAAGCUGGGAGGUCACUCCUCCAAACUGUCCUUGGCAGACUGAGUGAGUGAUUGGAAGAGCUAAGCUGGGAUGCUAGCCUGCAAUGGACCCACGUCUACUCUGCGUGGCCAAGUGGAGGCUGUGUUUAGACUUCCCGAGAUCCAGAGAGAACUGGAUUCUAACCGUCUCUACAAAAGAUUGAAAAUAAAUAGCUGUGCACGGUUGUCACUGAGUAUCUCAGCCUCAAAAUAAAUUUUAAAACUUUUUGUUUUUUUCUUUUUUGCUUUCAGCCUCGAAACAUACUUUGGGAAACUCCUUGUUCCUGCCUUUCCCACCAGGCACUUCAGUGCUUGCUUAUCUAAUUAUGUGCUUGCUUAGAAAUUCCAGGGGCCAAUUUCGAAACAAAGGAGGCAGAGAGACCCAGCUGCAGAAUCCUCCCUCUUAGGGGAAGUUACAGUUAGCCCACCACUUCCGGGUUGAAGUCGGGGUAAUGCAAACCAGAUCCCCAGAUGGUUGAUUCCUCAGGAUAACACUUGGGAACAAGACAGGCAGACCCACACCCUCUUGUACCACUCUGCUGUGUUUCCCACACCUUUUCCUUGUUAAAUCCCUUCACUCAGCCCACAGGACUGAGAUGUCUUCCUUGAGGUGGAAUCCUGGUUAUCUCCCAUCUGCUGGCAUUUGAUUAAUAAAGUUGCUUUAUUUUCACCAGACCUGUCUUAUAUUUUCAGCCUCUGAGCAGUGAGCACCUGGACUUACAUGAUGGUACAUGAGUGUAGGCCCAGCUACUCAGGAGACAGAGGCGGGAGGAUCACUUGAGCCCAUGCAGUCAAGGCUGCAGUGACCUAUGACUGCACCAUUUCCCUCCAGCCUGGGCGACAGAGUGAGACCUCAUCUCUAAAAAAAAAAAACCAAAAUCAAACAAACAAAAUUAAAAAAAAGGAUUUCAUUCGCAACACAACGGAUUCAGAUUUGAUCUAGAGAAGAUGUUUCGAGCAGGGAAAAGGUACAUCCCAAAUGGGCCCUAAAGAGUUUGCAAGCAGCCCAGAUGAUGGCCCUAUAGGUGACAGGGGUCAGGACACAGGUCUUGGUCUCUGGGUGCAGAGGGGUAGGUCCUAGAUGGGCUCAAUUCUUCAAUGGUUUCCCCGAGCACAAAUUCAGAAUUCCUUCUGCUCUGGUGGGAACCCUGAAGUGGAGAGAUGCACUUUUCAAUCACUUUAAUUCCAUACUGAUGAUUUUUUUUUAAUUGUA